CGGCGGACGGGUGAGUAACACGUGGAUAACCUACCUAUAAGACUGGGAUAACUUCGGGAAACCGGAGCUAAUACCGGAUAAUAUUUUGAACCGCAUGGUUCAAAAGUGAAAGACGGUCUUGCUGUCACUUAUAGAUGGAUCCGCGCCGCAUUAGCUAGUUGGUAAGGUAACAGCUUACCAAGGCAACGAUGCGUAGCCGACCUGAGGGGGUGAUCGGCCACACUGGAACUGAGACACGGUCCAG
Molecule: ribosomal RNA, 244 nt
Filed under: uncultured Staphylococcus sp.
Lineage: Bacteria; Bacillati; Bacillota; Bacilli; Caryophanales; Staphylococcaceae
Description: partial 16S ribosomal RNA
Rfam family: Bacterial small subunit ribosomal RNA
Source: RNAcentral